RNAcentral lists this long non-coding RNA (568 nucleotides) under Pan troglodytes (chimpanzee). RNAcentral's name for it is "long non-coding RNA NONPTRT009774". Lineage: Eukaryota; Metazoa; Chordata; Mammalia; Primates; Hominidae. The record is from RNAcentral.
UCCAUGUCCAUCUUCCCUCUGGGCUCUUCCCUUUGGUUCCAAAGAGCUUAUUGUAGAAGUUAAAAAAAACAUACAGUAAAGUGAUUAUCAUAAUCCUAAUUAUCCUCUAGGCAAUGCAGAAAAGAAAAAACAUAAGGAUAAACAUAUUGAGAUUUGCUCUUGCUCCAGCACAAUUCCCUGAAAGCCUUCUUCUAAGCCUGGUAUCCUGGGAGUGGCAGUGUUUUCAGCGUGGCAGACGGAGCAGUCAGGAAGCUGGGAGCCCAAACAGCGUGAGACAAAGCCACACAACAGAGGCCGCGCAUCAGUCGAAUAGCACUCCUAUUUACUUAUCUUUGGAGCCUCCCAGGAGGAAUAAAACAACAGAACUGGAGACCUGUUCGUGUGCUUUGGCCUUCCUGCCCAGGAUGGGAGGGUAAAGGUCUGGGUCAAGGGUAAGUUUCACCCCUUUGAGUUUGGCUCUGAAUCUGUGGAGCUGAGGAUGCAUGUAGAGUCUGGCCACAGUAUUGUGUGGGCUGAUGCUGAACGUGGAACACACAAGUGCAGGUUUACAAAAGCAAUUGAGAAAGGC